This 513-nucleotide ribosomal RNA is filed under the name uncultured bacterium. Its description in RNAcentral is "partial 16S ribosomal RNA". It matches the Rfam family "Bacterial small subunit ribosomal RNA", at positions 28 to 523 of the family's 1533-position model. The record is from RNAcentral.
GACGAACGCUGGCGGCAUGCCUAAUACAUGCAAGUCGAGCGAACAGAUGAAGUGCUUGCACUUCUGACGUUAGCGGCGAACGGGUGAGUAACACGUAAGGAAUCUACAUAUAAGCGGGGGAUAACAUUCGGAAAGGGGUGCUAAUACCGCAUAAUCUCUUCUUCCGCAUGGAAGAACGUUGAAAGACGGCUCUGCUGUCACCUAGACGGGACAUUGCGGUGCAUGAGUUAGUUGGUGGGGUAACGGCCUACCAAGACGAUGAUGCAUAGCCGACCUGAGAGGGUGAUCGGCCACAUUGGGACUGAGACACGGCCCAAACUCCUACGGGAGGCAGCAGUUGGGAAUACUCCGCAAUGGGCGAAAGCCUGACGGAGCAAUGCCGCGUGAGUGAAGAAGGCCUUCGGGUCGUAAAGCUCUGUUAUAAGAGAAGAACAAAUUGUAGAGUAUCUGCUACAGUCUUGACGGUAUCUUAUCAGAAAGCAACGGCUAACUACGUGCCAGCCGCCGCCGUAA